UACGUAGGGUGCAAGCGUUGUCCGGAAUCAUUGGGCGUAAAGGGCGCGUAGGUGGCGCGGUAAGCGUGCGGUGAAAGCCUGGGGCUCAACCCCGGGUCGGCCGUGCGAACUGCUGGGCUUGAGCACUGUAGAGGCAGGCGGAAUUCCGGGUGUAGCGGUGGAAUGCGUAGAGAUCCGGAAGAACACCGGUGGCGAAGGCGGCCUGCUGGGCAGUUGCUGACACUGAGGCGCGACAGCGUGGGGAGCAAACAGG
This 253-nucleotide ribosomal RNA is filed under the name uncultured bacterium. RNAcentral's name for it is "partial 16S ribosomal RNA". It matches the Rfam family "Bacterial small subunit ribosomal RNA", at positions 524 to 776 of the family's 1533-position model. The record is from RNAcentral.